UACGUAGGGUCCGAGCGUUGUCCGGAAUUAUUGGGCGUAAAGAGCUCGUAGGCGGCAUGUCGCGUCUGCUGUGAAAGACCGGGGCUCAACUUCGGUUUUGCAGUGGAUACGGGCAUGCUAGAGGUAGGUAGGGGAGACUGGAAUUCCUGGUGUAGCGGUGAAAUGCGCAGAUAUUAGGAGGAACACCGAUGGCGAAGGCGGGACUCUGGGCUGUAACUGACACUGAGGAGCGAAAGCAUGGGGAGCGAACAGGAUUAGAUACCCGGGUA
This 269-nucleotide ribosomal RNA is filed under the name uncultured prokaryote. RNAcentral describes it as "partial 16S ribosomal RNA". It matches the Rfam family "Bacterial small subunit ribosomal RNA", at positions 524 to 792 of the family's 1533-position model. The record is from RNAcentral.